RNAcentral lists this ribosomal RNA (253 nucleotides) under uncultured bacterium. Its description in RNAcentral is "partial 16S ribosomal RNA". It matches the Rfam family "Bacterial small subunit ribosomal RNA", at positions 524 to 776 of the family's 1533-position model. The record is from RNAcentral.
UACGUGCGGGGCGAACGUUGUUCGGAAUUACUGGGCGUAAAGGGUUUGUAGGUGGUCUGCUAAGUCAGACGUGAAAUCCCUCAGCUUAACUGGGGAACUGCGUCUGAUACUGGCGGACUUGAGGACAGGAGAGGAACGCGGAAUUCCAGGUGUAGCGGUGAAAUGCGUAGAUAUCUGGAGGAACACCGGUGGCGAAGGCGGCGUUCUGGACUGUUUCUGACACUGAAAAACGAAAGCCAGGGGAGCAAACGGG